Molecule: long non-coding RNA, 1905 nt
Organism: Olea europaea var. sylvestris
Lineage: Eukaryota; Viridiplantae; Streptophyta; Magnoliopsida; Lamiales; Oleaceae
Exons: 3
Source: RefSeq, a predicted model, not a curated record
AAUUGUUCGAAAUGGUAGUUUGGUUACCAAGAAGUUUAUUCACAAGAUGUUUGUCUUUAAUUUUUAUUUACACACACACUUUUACUAUAAAAUCCACAGCAAAUGCAUACUUACGCAACUGUAAAGAGACUUAGAUAAAUCAAAUGCACAAAACAAUUUUUCUAUAUGUUGUCAAAUGCAAGUCUGUCAAGUUUUGCUAACGUAGAAAAAAUCUAACGAACCUUAUAUAAUAAAGCUAAACUAAGUGAAGAACAAAUAUUUGCUCCUUCAUGUGACUGGUUAUAAAACAAAAAAAGCUACAGUUUUGUGUUUCUUAUCACUGAUUUAUUUCUCAUGUAAUUCUUGUUAUUAUAUUAGAAUAAAUAGACUUGGGAUGCAGAAAAGCAAGAGGAGGUGAAGAUAGUAUGGUUAGUUGCCUCAAAGGUGCAACUUAGGGACAUGUUUUGUGAGGUAGAGAGACACAAAAAAAAAGAAAAAAGAAAAAAAAAUGUGGUUCUAAAGAUGCGGUUGAUUGGAAGGGACAUGGACCAUAGUGGUUAAGCCUUGAGCAUUGGAAUGAGCUUGUAGAAAAAAAUGGAACAAUGAUGAAUGGAAGAAAAAGUCCAAAUCUGGACAGGAUAAUCGGCUAACACAUAAAUCAGGAACAGUGACUAAGCACAUAUUCGGUUUGAUAAUAAUUGCCGUGCACAAACAUAAAAUGGUAGGUCUCUUUGAAUGUUUUUGAUACACAACUAAUUAAAUGUGUAUGUUUUUGCUUACUUUAUUUGUUUAAUAUAUAAAUUGGUGAAUGUAUGAUCUACUAUGAUAUAUUUGUUGUUGGAAGGGACAUGGACCACAGUGGUUAAGCCCUGAGCAUUGGAAUGAUCUUGUAGAAAAAAAUGGAACAAUGAUGAAUGGAAGAAAAAGUCCAAAUCUGAACACGAUAAUCGGCUAACGCAUAAAUCAGGAACAGUGACUAAGCACAUAUUCGGUUUGAUAACAAUUGUUGUGAACGAGUAUAAAAUGCGCAAAGAAUUAGGUCGACCACCACAUGCUUUAGAGUUGUUCAAAUGUGUACAUAAGCGAAACAAGGGACAAGGAGAAUAUGUUGAUAAUGAAUCAUGACUUGUUUGUGAAAAGUAUGAGCUUUCUAUGGAGUUAAAGCAUGGUUUAGAGCUAUUAUCACAACCUGAUAUUGAUAUUGAAUUGUGGUGUGAAGCAACCCAAGGCCCAAGUAAAGGUAACCAUUUGUAUGGUCUUGGUACUUCUCUAUUGGCUUCAAGUACAUCUUCUAGAUCUAAGUUUGUUCCAUCUAUGGAGUAUGAUGAUGGAGAUGUUAGCUUAAAACAGCAUAUUCACAAUGCUUGCGAGAAGAUUGAUGAGCGAACAAAGGAAAAAGAUGAUAUGCAUCGAGAGAUAGAAGAGGUAAGGCGGGAGCGUAUAGAGUUUGAAAAACAAAUGUAAGAGAAGAGGCAUGAAGAUGAGAGGAAGCAUAUAGAGUUUGAAAAAAUGAUCAUGAGUAGGAUCAAUGGAUGGCAGACUCCUUAAUCUCAUCAAUCUUCUUGCAUGAGCUAACAAAGGAAAAAGAUGAUAUGCAUCGAGAGAUAGAAGAGGUAAGGCGGGAGCAUAUAGAGUUUGAAAAAGAAAUGGAAGAAAAGAGGCAUGAAGACGAGAGGAAGCGUAUAGAGUUUGAAAAAAUGAUCAUGAGUAGGAUCAAUGGAAGCCAGACUCCUUAAUCUCAUUGUUAAACUCUCACAAUGAUCUUCAAAGCCUCGAUAAUGUCUAUAUUAGUUGGCCUAUGAACUAUUUUUUGUUAUUUUGUUAUAUGUUCCAAGGAUAUAAUUUGAUACAUCUUCGGAAGGUUUCUGUUGAACGCAAGUUCGUAGUAACUAUUUUAAAUCUUUUUGUAGUUUGAAUCUAUGAAAU